RNAcentral lists this ribosomal RNA (440 nucleotides) under uncultured bacterium. Its description in RNAcentral is "partial 16S ribosomal RNA". It matches the Rfam family "Bacterial small subunit ribosomal RNA", at positions 339 to 795 of the family's 1533-position model. The record is from RNAcentral.
CUACGGGAGGCAGCAGUGAGGAAUAUUGCACAAUGGGGGCAACCCUGAUGCAGCAACGCCGCGUGGAGGAUGACGCAUUUCGGUGUGUAAACUCCUUUUAUCAGAGAAGAACCAUGACGGUAUCUGAUGAAUAAGCUCCGGCUAACUCCGUGCCAGCAGCCGCGGUAAUACGGAGGGAGCAAGCGUUAUUCGGAAUCACUGGGCGUAAAGGACGCGUAGGCCGGUCUGUAAGUCAGGUGUGAAAUGCAAUGGCUCAACCAUUGAACUGCACUUGAAACUGCGGACCUAGAGUAUGGAAGGGGCAGAUGGAAUUAGUGGUGUAGGGGUAAAAUCCGUAGAUAUCACUAGGAAUACCGAAAGCGAAGGCGAUCUGCUGGGACAUAACUGACGCUGAGGCGUGAAAGCGUGGGGAGCAAACAGGAUUAGAUACCCGUGUAGUC